GGAAAUGUAGUCAAUUAUGACAUAUGAUUUGCAUUCAUAAAGUGUGUUAAACCUUUUUCA
This 60-nucleotide transfer RNA is filed under the name Cherax cartalacoolah. RNAcentral's name for it is "tRNA-Ala". The record is from RNAcentral. Lineage: Eukaryota; Metazoa; Arthropoda; Malacostraca; Decapoda; Parastacidae.